AUGUGGGAAUGAUGUCCCUAGGUAUACUAAAACACCUGCAUUUCUGGACAUUUUUCAUUAUGUUGUUGUCAUCCAUUUCAAUUUGAGUUCAAAGGUAUGUGAAAUGGAGUUUCUGUACAAUGAAAGAAUCUGCAUUGCAAACACUAAAUUUCUUCCUCUUGUGCAACACCAACACCCCUCUUUCUUUUUCUCCUCUUACAACCUUAUACCUUUCUCCUGCCCUUCCAAAUAAAAUUCAGCACAAUUAGAUUGAUACAUUAUGCAAUUUGAAAAUUGUAUUGUUUGAAAUUGUCUCUGUAUUUGUCCAAUGGUGCAAAAAAUUUGGUCUGUUUGAUA
Molecule: unclassified non-coding RNA, 336 nt
Filed under: Hevea brasiliensis (rubber tree)
Lineage: Eukaryota; Viridiplantae; Streptophyta; Magnoliopsida; Malpighiales; Euphorbiaceae
Source: RNAcentral